AGCAGCCGCGGUAAUUCCAGCUCCAAUAGCGUAUAUUAAAGUUGUUGCAGUUAAAAGCUCGUAGUUGAAUUUCGGGAUUGACACAUCGGUCGUGCCUUAAGGGGUAUGAACUGGUGUAGUCAAUUUCUCACCUUCUGGAGAACCGCGAUGCCCUUAAUUGGGUGUCGCGGGGAACCAGGACCUUUACUUUGAAAAAUUAGAGUGUUUAAAGCAGGCAUUUUGCUUGAAUACAUUAGCAUGGAAUAAUAAAAUAGGACGGCAUGAUUCUAUUUUGUUGGUUUCUAGGAUCACCGUAAUGAUUAAUAGGGAUAGUUGGGGGCAUUAGUAUUCAAUUGUCAGAGGUGAAAUUCUUGGAUUUAUUGAAGACUAACUACUGCGAAAGCAUUUGCCAAGGAUGUUUUCAUUAAUCAAGAACGAAAGUUAGGGAUCGAAGACGAUCAGAUACCGUCGUAGUCUUAACCAUAAACUAUAGCCGACUAGGAAUCAGACGAUGUUAAUUUUUAAUGUACUGUUGCUACUU
Molecule: unclassified non-coding RNA, 520 nt
Filed under: uncultured Entrophospora
Lineage: Eukaryota; Fungi; Glomeromycota; Glomeromycetes; Entrophosporales; Entrophosporaceae
Description: SSU rRNA
Rfam family: Eukaryotic small subunit ribosomal RNA
Source: RNAcentral